GUACCUAUGAGGACAUUUGCAUAUCUCAAAAAACAUGGCCGUCAUUGGCCAAACAAAUUUAAGCACCUAUUUGAAAGGGUUAACGGAUGUUGAUCGGAACGAAACUCGCUGGGUACGUUCGACUCAUGAACCUUAAGGUCUGUAAGAAUUUUGAAAGAAAUCGGCCACUAGUUGGCGCUAACGAGUUUUAUGGCUCUGUAAUCACGUGGUGUUUCACAUAUCAACACAAUAUGCAUAUCAUUUGAUAGAUCUCCUCGUAUUGCACAACUUUGCCUCAAGAACCAUUGCUGUCAAUCAAAUCGUUCAAUUGUUAUUCACAAAUAUGUUAAAAACCUACUUUUGCGAACUAGUCCUAGGUUUUUUGCCCGAUCGGAACCAAACCACUGCAGUAAUAUUCUGUGGACUCUCUAGAUCAAUAAUUAUUAAAAAAAUGUUGAAUUUUGUCCUUUGGUUAGUUGUAACCGGGUAAUUUAGAAAAAGGGGUGUGGCCAAACAUACCCCAAAGCCUAUAAAACCUAAAGGAAAACUCAAAACUGUAUGAAACUCAGUGAAAUCAUGUAUCAGGUGACUCUUAACAAGCAUGCAAAGUUUCAUGGAGAUCAGACCAUAGGUGGCGCUAUAACAGUAGAAAAGGUCUCAAAACACAAGAUUUAUAUGGUAAAUGGCCCCAAAUUGUUUGAAAAUGCUCAUAUAUUCACUCAAAAACACUAAAUCUUCAUAUCAUAUGAUAGAUCUCCUCAUUCUGAACAACUUUGCCUCUGGGACCAAUGUUGUCAAUAAAGCUGUUAAUUAAUUAUUCAAGAUUAUUUUAAAAAGUUACUUUGGCAUACUUGUGAUACGGUUUAAGAUGAAAAUCAAUAAAACCACUGAAGUACAAUUCUGUAGACUCUGAAGGUCAAUAAUUAUCAAAAACAUGUUGAACAAUUGCAUUUGGACAACUAUAAACCAGUAAUUUUAUAAUAUGUUCUUUUCAUAGUGUACACAAAGGCCUAUUAAUACAAACAGAAAGCCCACACAUUAUCAAAACUGUGUAAAACAAUGCAUAAUUUCAUUCUAAACAAGCAUGCAAAAUUUAAGAGAGAUUGGGCAAAAAAAAAAAAAAAACACUAUAACAGUUAUGUUUAAAAACAGUGUUGCUUGAGUAAAUGCAAUUUAUAACCUCUAGAUGGCAGUGGAAGACCACUAAUGGGCUCAUUCAGUUAAGUUGAACAGUACUGUUGAAAGGAUUCAUGAAUUCAUCCCAAAACAUUAAAAAUGUAACUGUUAUAACAUUUUAAAUCUCAUUGAGUCAAUGUUUUCCAUUUUGUUCUUACAGAUAUAUCAGUUUUUACAAUUUUGCCACAUUAUGAUUACAGUUUAACCUGAAAAUGACAUCUAAAC
Long non-coding RNA from Carassius gibelio (silver crucian carp), 1380 nucleotides. RefSeq lists it as uncharacterized. The record is from RefSeq and is a predicted model, not a curated record. Lineage: Eukaryota; Metazoa; Chordata; Actinopteri; Cypriniformes; Cyprinidae. The transcript has 3 exons.